AAGCGUGCGCAGGCGGUUAUGUAAGACAGAUGUGAAAUCCCCGGGCUCAACCUGGGAACUGCAUUUGUGACUGCAUGGCUAGAGUACGGUAGAGGGGGAUGGAAUUCCGCGUGUAGCAGUGAAAUGCGUAGAUAUGCGGAGGAACACCGAUGGCGAAGGCAAUCCCCUGGACCUGUACUGACGCUCAUGCACGAAAGCGUGGGGAGCAAACAGGAUUAGAUACCCUUGGU
Molecule: ribosomal RNA, 230 nt
Filed under: uncultured bacterium
Lineage: Bacteria
Description: partial 16S ribosomal RNA
Rfam family: Bacterial small subunit ribosomal RNA
Source: RNAcentral